UGGGGAAUAUUGCACAAUGGGGGCAACCCUGAUGCAGCGACGCCGCGUGGGUGAUGAAGGUUUUCGGAUCGUAAAGCCCUUUCUGCAUGACGAGCACAGGACGGUAGUGCAGGAAUAAGUGUCGGCUAACUACGUGCCAGCAGCCGCGGUAAAACGUAGGACACAAGCGUUAUCCGGAAUUACUGGGCGUAAAGGGCGUGCAGGCGGUUGCGUAAGUUAGGCGUGAAAGACUUCGGCUAAACCGGGGAGGUCGUCUGAUACUGCGCAACUAGAGUAUGGUAGAGGCGUGUAGAAUUCCGGGUGUAGUGGUGAAAUGCGUAGAGAUCCGGAGGAAUACCAGUGGCGAAGGCGGCACGCUGGGCCAUAACUGACGCUAAGACGCGAAAGCAUGGGUAGCGAACGGGAUUAGAUACCCUAGUAGUCCCUGAGCGGGCUGGCAAGGCGCAU
This 447-nucleotide ribosomal RNA is filed under the name uncultured bacterium. RNAcentral describes it as "bacterial SSU rRNA". It matches the Rfam family "Bacterial small subunit ribosomal RNA", at positions 355 to 825 of the family's 1533-position model. The record is from RNAcentral.